UCUAUGGCUUGGGUGGCCAGAGUCUUGGAUUUUUUGGGGGGCCUUUCUCUGACACUGCCUGACAUAGAGGUUGUUUAACACUGGUUGUGCCUGUGGGGGCCAAUUUAGUUUUACCAUUAUGAGUAUGCCCCUUUCAUAAAUUUAAAUCUAGUGCUGAAACCUGAAAAGUGUUAUUCACGAGGUGGUUCACGAGGUAACAGUGUAAGUAGUUCACGAGGUAACAGUGUAAGUAGUUCACGAGGUAACAGUGUAGUCAGUGGUGUAAGUAGUUCACGAGGUGACAGUGUAGUCAGUGGUGUAAGUAGUUCACGAGGUAACGGUGUAGUCAGUGGUGUAAGUAGUUCACGAGGUAACAGUGUAAGUAGUUCACGAGGUGACAGUGUAGUCAGUGGUGUAAGUAGUUCACGAGGUAACAGUGUAGUCAGUGGUGUAAGUAGUUCACGAGGUAACAGUGUAAGUAGUUCACGAGGUGACAGUGUAGUCAGUGGUGUAAGUAGUUCACGAGGUGACAGUGUAGUCAGUGGUGUAAGUAGUUCACGAGGUGACAGUGUAGUCAGUGGUGUAAGUAGUUCACGAGGUAACGGUGUAGUCAGUGGUGUAAGUAGUUCACGAGGUAACAGUGUAGUCAGUGGUGUAAGUAGUUCACGAGGUGACAGUGUAGUCAGUGGUGUAAGUAGUUCACGAGGUAACAGUGUAAGUAGUUCACGAGGUAACAGUGUAGUCAGUGGUGUAAGUAGUUCACGAGGUGACAGUGUAGUCAGUGGUGUAAGUAGUUCACGAGGUGACAGUGUAGUCAGUGGUGUAAGUAGUUCACGAGGUGACAGUGUAGUCAGUGGUGUAAGUAGUUCACACGGUAGCGGUGUAGUCAGUGGUGUUUAUCACUUUAAAAAUAGAGACAAAGAAAAAUCACUGUCUGUUGGAAAACUAAACGCUUUGAGAAUCCUUGAUUAGGUUUACUAAAGCAAUGUGCCAUGAACAAUAUUUGCAUAAAAGCAUUUGACUACACAUUGAGCUGUCUAUCUGUGUGUUGGUGACAGCUUCUUUAGUAUGACAGAUGGAGAGAGAGAAAUAAACCCACUGCUG
Molecule: long non-coding RNA, 1083 nt
Organism: Oncorhynchus keta (chum salmon)
Lineage: Eukaryota; Metazoa; Chordata; Actinopteri; Salmoniformes; Salmonidae
Exons: 4
Source: RefSeq, a predicted model, not a curated record